GAUGAACGCUGACAGAAUGCUUAACACAUGCAAGUCAACUUGAAUUUGGGUUUUUAACUUAGGUUUGGGUGGCGGACGGGUGAGUAACGCGUAAAGAACUUGCCUCACAGCUAGGGACAACAUUUGGAAACGAAUGCUAAUACCUAAUAUUAUGAUAAUAGGGCAUCCUAUAAUUAUGAAAGCUAUAAGCGCUGUGAGAGAGCUUUGCGUCCCAUUAGCUAGUUGGAGAGGUAACGGCUCACCAAGGCGAUGAUGGGUAGCCGGCCUGAGAGGGUGAUCGGCCACAAGGGGACUGAGACACGGCCCUUACGCCUACGGGAGGCAGCAGUGGGGAAUAUUGGACAAUGGACCAAGAGUCUGAUCCAGCAAUUCUGUGUGCACGAUGAAGUUUUUCGGAAUGUAAAGUGCUUUCAGUUGGGAAGAAAGAAAUGACGGUACCAACAGAAGAAGUGACGGCUAAAUACGUG
Molecule: ribosomal RNA, 467 nt
Filed under: uncultured bacterium
Lineage: Bacteria
Description: partial 16S ribosomal RNA
Rfam family: Bacterial small subunit ribosomal RNA
Source: RNAcentral